This 876-nucleotide ribosomal RNA is filed under the name uncultured eukaryote. RNAcentral describes it as "SSU rRNA". It matches the Rfam family "Eukaryotic small subunit ribosomal RNA", at positions 142 to 1043 of the family's 1831-position model. The record is from RNAcentral.
GAUAACCGUAGUAAUUCUAGAGCUAAUACAUGCUGUAAGCCUGACUUUAGGGAAAGGUUGUAUUUAUUAGAUCCCAAACCAAUAGUUUCGACUAUUGUGACGACUCAUAAUAACUGAUCGGAUCGCAUGGCCUUGUGCCGCGAUAAACCAUUCAAGUUUCUGACCCAUCAGCUUUCGAUGGUAGUGUAUUGGACUACCAUGGCUUUCACGGGUAACGGAGGAUUAGGGUUCGAUUCCGGAGAGGGAGCCUGAGAAACGGCUACCACAUCUAAGGAAGGCAGCAGGCGCGUAAAUUACCCAAUCCUGAUUCAGGGAGGUAGUGACAAGAAAUAACGGGUCGGGGCAUCUGCCUCGGGAUUGCAAUGAAUCGAAUUUACACCCCUUAAUGAGGACCAAUUGGAGGGCAAGUCUGGUGCCAGCAGCCGCGGUAAUUCCAGCUCCAAUAGCGUAUAUUAAAGUUGUUGCAGUUAAAAAGCUCGUAGUUUGAUUUCUGGACGGGCGCCAACACCCGCUUGUUAGUGUGGAGGCGGCACCCGCCCAUCCUUCUGUUAACGCCGCCGGCAUUUGUUUGCUGGUGGCGGGCUCAGAUAUUUUACCUUGAGAAAAUUAGAGUGUUUCANGCAGGCUUGCGCCUAGAUACAUUAGCAUGGAAUAAUAGAAUAGGACCUUGACCUCUUCUGUUGGUCUGAGGGUGAGAGNAAUGAUUAAUAGGGAUAGUUGGGGGCAUUAGUACUUAACUGCUAGAGGUGAAAUUCUCAGAUUUGUUAAAGACUANCUUAUGCGAAAGCAUUUGCCAAGGAUGUUUUCNUUAAUCAGAAUGAAAGUUAGGGGAUCAAGACGAUNNAUACCGUCCUANUNCUNAACAUAACUANUGCC